RNAcentral lists this small RNA (69 nucleotides) under Klebsiella aerogenes. RNAcentral's name for it is "partial RtT sRNA". It matches the Rfam family "RtT RNA", at positions 1 to 68 of the family's 130-position model. From Rfam's summary of the family: This family represents a bacterial cis-regulatory element known as RtT RNA. Lineage: Bacteria; Pseudomonadati; Pseudomonadota; Gammaproteobacteria; Enterobacterales; Enterobacteriaceae. The record is from RNAcentral.
UAUUCUGCCCUACGGGGAAGGAUGAGAAGCUUCGACUAAGGUUCGACUCGAGCGCCAGCGAGAAAACGU